This 712-nucleotide ribosomal RNA is filed under the name uncultured Coxiella sp. RNAcentral's name for it is "bacterial SSU rRNA". It matches the Rfam family "Bacterial small subunit ribosomal RNA", at positions 115 to 822 of the family's 1533-position model. Lineage: Bacteria; Pseudomonadati; Pseudomonadota; Gammaproteobacteria; Legionellales; Coxiellaceae. The record is from RNAcentral.
UCGUAGGAAAUCUACCUUAUAGAGGGGGAUAACCUGGGGAAACUCGGGCUAAUACCGCAUAAUCUCUUUGGAGCAAAGCGGGGGAUCUUCGGACCUCGUGCUAUAAGAUGAGCCUACGUCGGAUUAGCUUGUUGGUGGGGUAAUGGCCUACCAAGGCGACGAUCCGUAGCUGGUCUGAGAGGACGAUCAGCCACACUGGGACUGAGACACGGCCCAGACUCCUACGGGAGGCAGCAGUGGGGAAUAUUGGACAAUGGGGGAAACCCUGAUCCAGCAAUGCCGCGUGUGUGAAGAAGGCCUUCGGGUUGUAAAGCACUUUCGGUGGGGAAGAAAUUCUCAAGGGUAAUAUCCUUGGGCGUUGACGUUACCCACAGAAGAAGCACUGGCUAACUCUGUGCCAGCAGCCGCGGUAAUACAGAGAGUGCAAGCGUUAAUCGGAAUCACUGGGCGUAAAGCGCGCGUAGGUGGAUAUUUAAGUCGGAUGUGAAAGCCCUGGGCUUAACCUGGGAAUUGCACCCGAUACUGGGUAUCUUGAGUAUGGUAGAGGGAAGUGGAAUUUCCGGUGUAGCGGUGAAAUGCGUAGAUAUCGGAAAGAACACCAGUGGCGAAGGCGACUUCCUGGACCAAUACUGACACUGAGGCGCGAAAGCGUGGGGAGCAAACAGGAUUAGAGACCCUGGUAGUCCACGCCGUCAACGAUGAGAACUAGCUG